UACGGGGGGGGCAAGCGUUGUUCGGAAUUACUGGGCGUAAAGGGCUCGUAGGCGGCCAACUAAGUCGGACGUGAAAUCCCCAGGCUCAACCUGGGAACUGCGUCCGAUACUGGAUGGCUUGAAUCCGGGAGAGGGAUGCAGAAUUCCAGGUGUAGCGGUGAAAUGCGUAGAUAUGUGGAGGAACACCAGUGGCGAAGGCGACUCUCUGGGCUGUAACUGACGCUGAGGCGCGAAAGCGUGGGGAGCAAACAGG
This 253-nucleotide ribosomal RNA is filed under the name uncultured bacterium. Its description in RNAcentral is "partial 16S ribosomal RNA". It matches the Rfam family "Bacterial small subunit ribosomal RNA", at positions 524 to 776 of the family's 1533-position model. The record is from RNAcentral.